AGUGAACGCUGGCGGUAGGCCUAACACAUGCAAGUCGAACGGCAGCACAGUAAGAGCUUGCUCUUACGGGUGGCGAGUGGCGGACGGGUGAGGAAUACAUCGGAAUCUACUUUUUCGUGGGUGAUAACGUAGGGAAACUUACGCUAAUACCGCAUACGACCUACGGGUGAAAGCAGGGGAUCUUCGGACCUUGCGCGAUUGAAUGAGCCGAUGUCGGAUUAGCUAGUUGGCGGGGUAAAGGCCCACCAAGGCGACGAUCCGUAGCUGGUCUGAGAGGAUGAUCAGCGACACUGGAAGUGAGACACGGUCCAGACUACUACGGGAGGCAGCAGUGGGGAAUAUUGGACAAUGGGCGAAAGCCUGAUCCAGCAAUACCGCGUGGGUGAAGAAGGACUUCGGGUUGUAAAGCCCUUUUGUUGGGAAAGAAAAGCAGCAGGUUAAUACCCAGCUGUUCUGACGGUACCAAAAGAAUAAGCACCGGCUAACUUCGUG
This 492-nucleotide ribosomal RNA is filed under the name uncultured bacterium. RNAcentral's name for it is "partial 16S ribosomal RNA". It matches the Rfam family "Bacterial small subunit ribosomal RNA", at positions 29 to 507 of the family's 1533-position model. The record is from RNAcentral.